UUUGCAAAAGACCAAAAAGCG
This 21-nucleotide non-coding RNA is filed under the name Caenorhabditis elegans. Lineage: Eukaryota; Metazoa; Nematoda; Chromadorea; Rhabditida; Rhabditidae. The record is from RNAcentral.